This 220-nucleotide unclassified non-coding RNA is filed under the name plant metagenome. RNAcentral's name for it is "partial contains small subunit ribosomal RNA, internal transcribed spacer 1, and 5.8S ribosomal RNA". The record is from RNAcentral.
UUUCCGUAGGUGAACCUGCGGAAGGAUCAUUACAGAGUUCAUGCCCUCACGGGUAGAUCUCCCACCCUUGAAUAUUUAUACCUUAGUUGCUUUGGCAGGCCGUGGAAACACCAUGGGCUCCGGCUUAUGCGUGCCUGCCAGAGGAAACAAACUCUGUUUUCAGUGAUGUCUGAGUACUAUAUAAUAGUUAAAACUUUCAACAACGGAUCUCUUGGUUCUG